This 440-nucleotide ribosomal RNA is filed under the name uncultured bacterium. RNAcentral describes it as "partial 16S ribosomal RNA". It matches the Rfam family "Bacterial small subunit ribosomal RNA", at positions 338 to 795 of the family's 1533-position model. The record is from RNAcentral.
CCUACGGGAGGCUGCAGUGGGGAAUAUUGCACAAUGGGGGAAACCCUGAUGCAGCGACGCCGCGUGAGUGAAGAAGUAAUUCGUUAUGUAAAGCUCUAUCAGCAGGGAAGAAAAUGACGGUACCUGAGUAAGAAGCCCCGGCUAACUACGUGCCAGCAGCCGCGGUAAUACGUAGGGGGCAAGCGUUAUCCGGAUUUACUGGGUGUAAAGGGAGCGUAGACGGCAGUGCAGGUCUGGAGUGAAAGGCGGGGGCUCAACCCCCGGACUGCUCUGGAAACUGUACGGCUGGAGUGCGGGAGAGGUAAGUGGAAUUCCUAGUGUAGCGAUGAAAUGCGUAGAUAUUAGGAGGAACACCAGUGGCGAAGGCGGCUUACUGGACUGUAACUGACGUUGAGGCUCGAAAGCGUGGGGAGCAAACAGGAUUAGAUACCCGGGUAGUC